CCAAUAGCGUAUAUUAAAGUUGUUGCAGUUAAAAAGCUCGUAGUUGAAUUUCGGGGUUUAUCCGUCGGUCGGGCUUUUGGGUCUGUACUGGCGUGAUGGAUUCCUACCUUCUGAAUAACCGGAGUGUCAUUAAUUUGGUGGGCCGGGGACGCAGGACGGUGACCUUGAAAAAAUUAGAGUGCUUAAAGCAGGCUAUUGCCUGAAUACAUUAGCAUGGAAUAAUGGCAUAGGACGCAUGGUUCUAUUUUGUUGGUUUCUAGGAUCACCGUAAUGAUUAAUAGGGAUAGUUGGGGGCAUUAGUAUUCAAUUGUCAGAGGUGAAAUUCUUUGAUUUAUUGAAGACUAACUUCUGCGAAAGCAUUUGCCAAGGAUGUUUUCAUUAAUCAAGAACGAAAGUUAGGGAAUCGAAGACGAUCAGAUACCGUCGUAGUCUUAACCAUAAACUAUGCCGACUAGGGAUCGGACGAUGUUAAUUUUUUAAUGACUCGUUCGGCGCCUUACG
This 501-nucleotide ribosomal RNA is filed under the name uncultured Glomeromycotina. RNAcentral describes it as "partial small subunit ribosomal RNA". It matches the Rfam family "Eukaryotic small subunit ribosomal RNA", at positions 591 to 1092 of the family's 1831-position model. The record is from RNAcentral. Lineage: Eukaryota; Fungi; Glomeromycota.